CCCUUGAUCCCUUGUUAUGUACCAGCUAGAUAAAUCAGUUGCCUGUUGGAGCCAGCUAUGGUUUUUCACGACUAGCAAAGGUAUGGAAACACACUGUUAGCUUCCUGUGCAAGCUAUUAGUAUUAUAUCAUAUACACAUAACAUAUGCCUUUGUUACAUGCCAGCUAGAGAAAUCUGUUGGAGCCUUAGUGUGCAACAUUCAUGGAAGAAGAAAAGAAAAUAGUUGUUGCCAAAUAGCAGCUAACGCGAUAGUGAUUACUAUAUGAUUAUCACUAAUAAUGCUGUCUGAUUCAGCAUGUGCUGCAGGUAGAUUAGCAUCUCUUGGCACCAAGGGUAACUGAGUAAAGACUAUCGUGACAAAAUGUUCUUCAGCAAUCAGCAUAAUCCUCAGGAGAACUCUCAAUUCAGGCAUGUAGCGGUACUGCAAGAAAAUGAGACAUCCAAAAGAGAAUGAAUCUUGAGAGGCUCUAUGAGUGACAUUGUCCGUGCUAUGGCGUAACUCGUAAGCCAGAAGGAAGAUCAGUAUAGCAGUCCUGGCGCACAAGGAGUCCAGAAGGUACAUAAUUAGUAAUUAUUUACAACCCAAUAAUCAUAGUGUAUAUAUGGCUUCAAUGGUUAGCAUGAGUAUUUAGAAUGUAUUAGUCAAUGCAAUAUCCCGUUUAUAUUUUCCUCCCAUAUUCAGUGAAGCCAAGAGAUAAUAUUGCUAAAAACCAAUUCAGAUACAACUAGGGUGGAGUACAAUAUUAGAAUGAAAACACUAAAUGGACUAUAUUUUUCCAGUUUAAUUAGAGCCAGUUCUCACUGUUGUCUGAGUCCAGCCUAAUCCGUGGUCGGUUUGAUUUAUCCCCCCAACGUCAUCCUGAUGUCAUGAACGCCUUUAAUCUGAAAUAGGUGUGGUUUAAAAGAUAGUAUAUUGGACGAUCCACUGCCAAAGACAGAUAGGCGAGCAUGCCACUGCAGUACUAAAAGCAAUUGUCCGUUCUCCCAGGUUCUCCAAACUGCAUCCAGUGCUUCCUCUACAAUUUUUCAACUACAGAUCACCAAAAGAAAAGUACUACAUACUAGUGCAAAACCUGACAAAAUGCUGACAGUGCAGGGUCUAUCUGUCAUUUUCAAGGUUUGAGAAAGCAUAGGAAUGUAAAUGUUUGUGUGAAGAGCACGAAUGCAUGACUAAAUGCAUGAACAAUAGAAUGUUCCCUAUAGUAG
Molecule: long non-coding RNA, 1206 nt
Filed under: Brachypodium distachyon (stiff brome)
Lineage: Eukaryota; Viridiplantae; Streptophyta; Magnoliopsida; Poales; Poaceae
Description: long non-coding RNA (BDIS_LNC000321)
Source: RNAcentral